RNAcentral lists this ribosomal RNA (482 nucleotides) under uncultured bacterium. RNAcentral's name for it is "bacterial SSU rRNA". It matches the Rfam family "Bacterial small subunit ribosomal RNA", at positions 29 to 506 of the family's 1533-position model. The record is from RNAcentral.
UUGAACGCUGGCGGAAUGCUUUACACAUGCAAGUCGAGCGGCAGCGCGGGGGCAACCCUGGCGGCGAGCGGCGAACGGGUGAGUAAUACAUCGGAACGUACCCAGUAGUGGGGGAUAACUAUCCGAAAGGAUAGCUAAUACCGCAUACGCCCUGAGGGGGAAAGUGGGGGAUCGCAAGACCUCACGUUAUUGGAGCGGCCGAUAUCGGAUUAGCUAGUUGGUGGGGUAAAGGCUCACCAAGGCGACGAUCCGUAGCGGGUCUGAGAGGACGGCCCGCCACACUGGAACUGAGACACGGUCCAGACUCCUACGGGAGGCAGCAGUGGGGAAUUUUGGACAAUGGGGGCAACCCUGAUCCAGCCAUUCCGCGUGAGUGAAGAAGGCCUUCGGGUUGUAAAGCUCUUUCGGCAGGAACGAAACGGUGAGCUCUAACAUAGCUUGCUAAUGACGGUACCUGAAGAAGAAGCACCGGCUAACUACGU